AGGGCACUCAUUUGGUGCUGCUGGAGGUUUGGAAGCUAUUGCCACGGUGAAAGCAAUUCAAAGAGGGUGGUUGCAUCCUUCCAUUAAUCAAUUUAAUCUGGAGCCUUUAGUUGAUUUAGACACCGUCACAAACAUAAAGCAACAACACGCGGUGAAUGUUGCUAUCUCAAAUUCAUUUGGAUUUGGUGGACACAACUCGGUCGUGACGUUCACUGCAUUCAAACCAUAAACCUGUUAAUCUCACGAACGAUGAUGUUCGGUUCAUAUUCUUAUUAAGAAUUCCAUAAAAAUGUUAAAAUAGUGAAUAAGAAGUCGAUCGUUUUGCCAAUUUAGAUUACCAUAGAAGUCUG
Molecule: long non-coding RNA, 350 nt
Organism: Cucurbita maxima (winter squash)
Lineage: Eukaryota; Viridiplantae; Streptophyta; Magnoliopsida; Cucurbitales; Cucurbitaceae
Exons: 3
Source: RefSeq, a predicted model, not a curated record